RNAcentral lists this ribosomal RNA (500 nucleotides) under uncultured bacterium. Its description in RNAcentral is "partial 16S ribosomal RNA". It matches the Rfam family "Bacterial small subunit ribosomal RNA", at positions 30 to 523 of the family's 1533-position model. The record is from RNAcentral.
AUUGAACGCUAGCGGGAUGCUUUACACAUGCAAGUCGAACGGCAGCGCGGACUUCGGUCUGGCGGCGAGUGGCGAACGGGUGAGUAAUGUAUCGGAACGUACCCAGUAGCGGGGGAUAACUACUCGAAAGAGUAGCUAAUACCGCAUACGACCUACGGGGGAAAGGCGGGGAUCGCAAGACCACUCACUAUUGGAGCGGCCGAUAUCGGAUUAGCUAGUUGGUGGGGUAAAGGCCUACCAAGGCGACGAUCCGUAGCUGGUUUGAGAGGACGACCAGCCACACUGGGACUGAGACACGGCCCAGACUCCUACGGGAGGCAGCAGUGGGGAAUUUUGGACAAUGGGGGCAACCCUGAUCCAGCCAUCCCGCGUGUGCGACGAAGGCCUUCGGGUUGUAAAGCACUUUUGGCAGGAAAGAAAUUGCCUGGGUUAAUACCCUGGGUAGAUGACGGUACCUGCAGAAUAAGCACCGGCUAACUACGUGCCAGCAGCCGCGGUAA